This 482-nucleotide long non-coding RNA is filed under the name Homo sapiens (human). Its description in RNAcentral is "HSALNT0320148". The record is from RNAcentral. Lineage: Eukaryota; Metazoa; Chordata; Mammalia; Primates; Hominidae.
AUCGAGAAAUUUUAUUUUGGCCAGGAGCUGAAGUUGGUUGUUUAGUAGUAGUAGUUUGAGUAGUGACCGAAGUAGUAGUCUGGUGUGUGGGUGCAAGAGUAGUUGGGGAAGAAUUAGGUGUGGGUGGGGCAGCUGUGGUCUCUGGUGGAGCUGAGGCGGAUGAUGGGUCUAGGGUAGUUGCAGAAGGUGUGGGUGGGACAGCUGUGGUCUCUGGUGGAGCUGAGGAAGAUAGUGGAGCUGGUGUAGUUGCAGAAGGUGUGGGUGGGGCAGCUGUGGUGUCUUGUGGAGCUGGGGAAUUCACUGGUGCUAAUGUAGCUACAGAAGAGCUUGUGUUAACAUUUUCUCUUGAAGAUAUGGUGGUGGCAUUCUGGGGAAGAAAAGUCACAUUUGGAAGGGUAGUAAUUUUGGUGGAAGCUUAGGCCUACAGCGUUUGUGCAGACAUUUAUAGGACUUUCUAAUGAACGGCUUCUGGUGAGCUAGCA